RNAcentral lists this unclassified non-coding RNA (336 nucleotides) under Chytridiomycota sp. Its description in RNAcentral is "partial contains small subunit ribosomal RNA, internal transcribed spacer 1, and 5.8S ribosomal RNA". The stretch from base 1 to 47 matches the Rfam family "Eukaryotic small subunit ribosomal RNA", at positions 1785 to 1831 of the family's 1831-position model. The record is from RNAcentral. Lineage: Eukaryota; Fungi; Chytridiomycota.
AAAGUCGUAACAAGGUAACCGUAGGUGAACCUGCGGUUGGAUCAUUAAAAAGAUCUAACCCGAACUCGGACGAGAUCGUUGAUGUAUUUCGAUGACCUCGUUUGAUGCCGGGUUUUCUCACCUAAAAAGUGAGUCAACAUUAUGUGAACUGUUCUGUCUCUGGCGGUGGGGUGGUGUCAAAACCAUCUGUCAGCAUCCGAGUUCGCUCGGUGUGCCGUGGACAAGCCGUCAAUGGUGUAUGUUUCAUACAAACUUUUGUUUUCAUCAAUCUGUCUGACAUACCUUUGUAUCCAAAAUAUACAAAAACAACUUUUGGCAACGGAUCUCUUGGCUCCC